GACGAACGCUGGCGGCGUGCUUAACACAUGCAAGUCGAACGGAAAGGCCCUGCUCUUGUGGGGUGCUCGAGUGGCGAACGGGUGAGUAACACGUGAGUAACCUGCCCUUGACCUUGGGAUAACUUCAGGAAACUGGGGCUAAUACCGGAUAGGAGCUCCUGCUGCAUGGGGGGGGUUGGAAAGUUUCGGCGGUUGGGGCUGGACUCGCGGCUUAUCAGCUUGUUGGUGGGGUAGUGGCUUACCAAGGCUUUGACGGGUAGCCGGCCUGAGAGGGUGACCGGCCACAUUGGGACUGCGAUACGGCCCAGACUCCUACGGGCGGCAGCAGUGGGGAAUAUUGCACAAUGGGCGGAAGCCUGAUGCAGCAACGCCGCGUGCGGGAUGACGGCCUUCGGGUUGUAAACCGCUUUCGCCUGUGACGAAGCGUGAGUGACGGUAAUGGGUAAAGAAGCACCGGCUAACUACGUG
RNAcentral lists this ribosomal RNA (468 nucleotides) under uncultured bacterium. RNAcentral's name for it is "partial 16S ribosomal RNA". It matches the Rfam family "Bacterial small subunit ribosomal RNA", at positions 28 to 507 of the family's 1533-position model. The record is from RNAcentral.